This 2625-nucleotide long non-coding RNA is filed under the name Numida meleagris (helmeted guineafowl). Its description in RNAcentral is "lncRNA (ENSNMEG00000012754.1)". The record is from RNAcentral. Lineage: Eukaryota; Metazoa; Chordata; Aves; Galliformes; Numididae.
GUAAUAAACACAUAAAGCAGUGUUGAGAAUAUCUGCACUCGUUUGAAAACAUGCUUCUGUGUUUUCAGAGUGCCUCAGUAUUUCAUGAAGGUGCUUGUUCUGAAAUAGCGGUACUAAAUAAAAUGUUUUUAAUUUUCCAGCCAGUGCAAAUAGAGUGAUUUAUCUUUCCGGUGAAAGAAAGAAGGGAAAGGAUUAUCUUUUUCACCUCCUGUGUUUAAAAGAGCUCUUGGGUUACCCAUUGCCUCCCAUGCUCAGACCUGCAGCCACUUCACGCCAGCAUUGCAGCACUUAACUGCAAGUGUUAAUUGAUGGAGCCCAAUUAAUGAGAGUGUUUGGCCCCAUGGUUCCUGCCAGACAGAGUUUUGCUAUUGUGCCAGACAAAGGAAUGAGAGGAGCUGCUGCCUCCUAUCGCCUUACAUGCCUUGGGAUGUGUGGAGAAGCAUGUGAGUGGCCCCAGCUCACCUAUCUUCUUGGGUUUCUCCCCGUGUAUCUGAGGAGCCCAACCUGGGGCUGCGUGCCCAUUCUGUGGGGCUGUGUCUCAAUGUGCCCAUCAGAGCAGAGUGCUGAUGUCUCACUCCACGGGACGUGCGCUGCCCGACAGCGCUCUGUGAAGACGUACAGUGUACAUCUGUGGAGAACUUCUCGCCUGUCCGUGUUACAAAUGUGACUAUAUCCAUACGACUUGUUCCCGCGCUUGGCACUGUUAUUGAACACAUCAUUUUGUUUUGUUACUGCCUUGCAGAGCUAGGGUGGCUUUGUAUAAAUAUUCUCCCUCCGGUUUUCCAGCUCUGAAAGGCAGCGGUGGGAAGAAGAGACAAAUUGGGAAGGCACUCCGAGGCAGCAGCCUGCUGGGAGCAUAGUCACUGCAAAACAGGCCAGCUUUGUGAUCACAGAAUCACAGAAUGGCUUGGGUUGGAAGGACCUUAAAGAUCAUGCAGCUCCAACCCUCUGCCAUGGGCUGGCUGCCCCCCACCAGCUCAGGCUGCCCAGGGCCCAUCCAUGGAUAUGAUAUGGGCACCCCGGCUCUGGGCAGCAGUGCUGGGGCUGCACCAUCCUCUGAGUAAAGAAUCCAUUUGGCCCCCCUCUAUUGGGGGGGGGGGGGGGGUAACAGGAGGCGUUGAUCUGGCUGUCUACUGCAGGAGUGCAUUAAUUGAACAAAUUUUUAUAGCUCUGGAAGACUAAAUGACUUUUCUGCCUCUAGGCUUUCCGCACAGGAUUGUAUAUUCAGGUGAAUGAAAUAUAUGAGUUCGGCUGUGGGAACAUUUAGCAAAACUAAAAUCUUUAGCUAAAUUUGCCACCCCUGACCCCUACGCACAUUUAUUUGGUCUCAUUUUAGAAAAUUAUCCUUUUUUUCUGGGCUUGUUAUGAAGAGAGGAGGCAGAUAAAACGGGAUGAGGAAAAAUCACCAAAUCUCCUUUCUUCCUCUGCUUCCCUGAGCUGGCAAACUCUUUUCUGGAGGGAGGGGCACAGCGAGCAGGGGCUUGUCCAUGCUGGAGAAUCACUUGAAUAAGGGAUGCCAGGAAAUGCACCAAGCAUCAGCUGUGCAGCUGUAGAGAGCCAGACCUUUCCUCCAUUUGCAACCCAUAGGCACUACUCUGUCAGAUAAAAAUACAUCCUGUCUGAUGUAUUUUUCACCUGUUCACUAGUGAAAAGGAAGAGUAUUUACAGACAGCUUCUCCAGGUGUUGCCCCAGAAGGCCACAGGCCAAGACUUCCCUAAAGGAAGGCUGUGACUUUACCUAAAGGGUGGGAGGGCAAGCUGUGAACGUUUGCAAACGUGUACCUCCCUUGUUAUCCUACAGGCAAGCUGGCAGAGUCUAUUUAGUAUCAUUUGAAAGUUCACUGAGAUGAAAAUAAUGACAAAAAAUACUGUGACAAGAUAAAGUACAGUGCUAUAAAAAUUCUCUACAGUGCUAUAAAAAUUAGAUUCUUAGCAGAAAAGAGAAUGAAGAGGUAAUUUAGUAAAAGUGAUGGAUGAACCUCUGAAGGUUUGGAAUUUCAGUUCAGUGCAGUCGCUUCUUCAGAUCUGAAGAGUCUGGGAAAUUCAGGAGCGUGGUCGCCAGCCACGAUAACCAGUCUCCCCUGGCUUUGACCUGCCUGAAAGCCAGUAACAAAAAGACGACAAGACUGGACUCUCCAGCUAGUCUGCCCAGUGGUAAUUAAAUUAACCUUUAUUCAACCUAAGCUAGUUCUCACAUUCCCUGUGGGGUAAGGACAUAUAUUUCCAUCAGGAAAAAAGGAGAAACUUGCUGCAGCAUCUGGUAGAGUUAGGGAGGAAUCACCUUUUGAAGGUAUCUCACACUGCGCAAGUAGCUUAUAUGGUCAAAACCCACCCUUUUGGCUGGAGAGUGGGCUACUAGUAAAAAAAAGAGUGAAUACUUUGAUAGUGGUAUGAUUGCCUGGCACUGACCAAUUUAGUGUUCCUGAUAAGUAGUAGCAGCUGCUUGUAUUUCGUAAGAGUUGUUGAUCCUCAGAUGUACAAGUACUGUACAAAAAAAAAACUGUAUUACUGUGUUUAUGACUGGAGAAGAGUGAGUCCUAGGGAAAUGGAUGAACCCUGGUCACCAUAGGACUGGAUGUUGCAAACAGAAAUAAAAUUCAACUCUACCAAAUUUUCCUAAGAGAG